Triticum aestivum (bread wheat) is the source of this 176-nucleotide non-coding RNA. The record is from Rfam. Lineage: Eukaryota; Viridiplantae; Streptophyta; Magnoliopsida; Poales; Poaceae.
UUAGUACUCCCUCCGUCCCAAAAUUCUUGUCUUAGAUUUGUCCAAAUACGGAUGUAUCCCAAAAUUCUUGUCUUAGAUUAGUCUAGAUACGGAUGUAUCUAAUACUAAAACGUGACUUGAUACAUCCGUAUUUGGACAAAUCUAAGACAAGAAUGUUGGGACGGAGGGAGUACAAU